Folsomia candida is the source of this 46-nucleotide non-coding RNA. NCBI's taxonomy places the organism in Eukaryota, Metazoa, Arthropoda, Collembola, Entomobryomorpha, Isotomidae. The record is from Rfam.
CCAACGGCCCUUUUCAGGGCCUCGAAACGUACAAUGAAGAUAAUGU